Molecule: ribosomal RNA, 460 nt
Filed under: uncultured bacterium
Lineage: Bacteria
Description: partial 16S ribosomal RNA
Rfam family: Bacterial small subunit ribosomal RNA
Source: RNAcentral
CCUACGGGUGGCAGCAGUGAGGAAUAUUGGUCAAUGGGCGGGAGCCUGAACCAGCCAAGUCGCGUGAGGGAAGACGGUCCUACGGAUUGUAAACCUCUUUUGCCGGGGAGCAACGGGGUCCUUGCGAGGGCCCAAUGAGAGUACCCGGAGAAAAAGCAUCGGCUAACUCCGUGCCAGCAGCCGCGGUAAUACGGAGGAUGCGAGCGUUAUCCGGAUUUAUUGGGUUUAAAGGGUGCGUAGGCGGUCCGUUCAGUCAGCGGUAAAAUUGCGGGGCUCAACCCCGUCGGGCCGUUGAAACUGGCAGACUGGAGUUGGCGAGAAGUACGCGGAAUGCGCGGUGUAGCGGUGAAAUGCAUAGAUAUCGCGCAGAACUCCGAUUGCGAAGGCAGCGUACCGGCGCCAGACUGACGCUGAGGCACGAAAGCGUGGGGAUCGAACAGGAUUAGAUACCCCUGUAGUC